RNAcentral lists this unclassified non-coding RNA (240 nucleotides) under soil metagenome. Its description in RNAcentral is "partial contains 5.8S ribosomal RNA, internal transcribed spacer 2, and large subunit ribosomal RNA". The record is from RNAcentral.
AACCUUAUGGACCUGCGGGCGUAUACCUGCGGAAGGAUCAUUACCGAGUGUAACCCCCCGUAAAAAGGGGGUACCUCCCGUCCUUUGCUAAGCCUCCCCCCAAAAACUUUGGAAAGGGAAGCUUUUUCAAAUCUUCUGCUUCGGUGGGUUAACCCCCGCCGGAACAACUUCAAAAAAUUCUUGAUCAACUGUUCUGUCCGAGAAAAUUUUAUAAAUAUCAAAAACUUUUAGCAACGGAUC